This is a small nuclear RNA of Manis pentadactyla (Chinese pangolin), 190 nucleotides long. RefSeq annotates it as U2 spliceosomal RNA. The transcript has a single exon. The record is from RefSeq and is a predicted model, not a curated record. NCBI's taxonomy places the organism in Eukaryota, Metazoa, Chordata, Mammalia, Pholidota, Manidae.
AUUGCUUGUCAGCCUUUUAGCUAAGAUCAAGUGUAAUAUCUGUUCUUAUCAGUUUAAUAUCUGAUACAUCCUCUAUCCGAGGACAAUAUAUUAAAUGGGUUUUUGCAGCAGGAAGUUGGAGUAGGAGCUUGCUCCUUCCCCCGCAGCAUCGGCCUGCUGGUGCAGUACUUCCAGGAACGGUGCACCCCUU